UUGAAAGGGAAACGAUUGAAGUCAGUCGUACCUGCGGACAAUCAGCCUUUCGGGUGCGAUUAUGUGGAGCGUGGGGAGCUAAACGCCUUCAUGCCUGCGUAUUUGUAUUCUGGGGUGUACUUGGACGUGCGGUAGGUUAACAUCAAUUUCGGACGUCAUAAAAUGGCUGGAGGAAUGUAGCUUCGGUCUCGUACUGAAGUGUUAUAGCCUUCGGCAGAUAUGGUGACCGGGAUUGAGGAUUGCAACGGAUACCUUUUGGGCUACCCGCCUGAUCUCUGAAAGUUGCUCUGGUGCCGAAAGCUUGCUUACGGUUAUCAAAGUUGACGUUCAAAAGGUUAGAACGGGUUAAAUUCGUUAAGGAUGUUGACGUA
This 371-nucleotide ribosomal RNA is filed under the name uncultured Glomeromycotina. RNAcentral describes it as "LSU rRNA". The record is from RNAcentral. Lineage: Eukaryota; Fungi; Glomeromycota.